AACAGUUGAGGCCGCUGUAAUGGGCUCCCUUUCUCAUGCAGUGUCUUCUUCAUUUGCCCCUUGUCACUCAAACCUACAUUGGAAAAAUAUGGGAGUCUGCGAGGCACUGACUUCCCAGGGAGAGACUUCCAUGUGUCGAGUACAAUCUGAGGGCUAAAAACAGACCCGAUCUGAAGAAAGAGCAGAAAGGGAUCAGUACCAAAAAUCCCAGUGUGUGAGCAAAAGAGAUGCUGUGGAAUAGAAAAUGAUUCCAAUCACACCAGAGAUGACAGCGCAUUUCUUGCCAUUUUACCGUGUCCUAGGCAAUGUGUUACGUGUUUCUCAUUCCCAUUUCUGUCCUCAGAAAGACACCGAACAAAGGCUGUUAUUAUGCCCAGUUGAGAGACGAGGAAACCCUGACCACAGACACACAGCCAAUGAAACCAGAAAAGAGAAGCCAGAGCUGGAACUGGCCAGGAGGAAGGGGCAGAGUGGGGCAUCUGCCCUACUUGAGUUGGAAGCCUUUCAUCCUGCCUUUCCCUGACUUCAUCCUCAUCAAGGUAAUCCUCUCCCCUUAACUCCUUUCCUCCCUGCCAUGGAGUAAGGUCAGAAGUCUCUGGAUGCUUGAGGCUCUGAUUGGACCACACCCACAGAAAACUUUCUUAAGCAAGGGUGCUUUAUUCCUUGAGUAGUGAGAGGUCUGGAAACCUGGGACAUUUUAGCCCAGCUACGACCCAUAUGCCUCCAUCUGGUAGUCAGGCUUCUCAGGACCUAAGCCAGCUGAAAAUUAUUCAGAGGGGAUACAUUAGCCUGCCUUGCCUGACCUGAGGUGGAAUGGUCCAUCUGCAGCCCAGAGAGUCAGCAAAACCAGGAGCUGUUCAUUCUGGGAAGGUGGAACCCUGAGAAUACAAGGGACCAGAGAUGGAACUGCAAUCUGAGGCUGGAGGUCUACAGUUCACUCAGAGUCCAGCAGCAGAUCCAAUCCAAUGGCCAAGGAAGGGAAACUGCCCUUCACAGGCAACAACAGCGGUACAAACUACAUUGGUUCUAGAAGGCUCAAGCGUGUGGCUGGAGGGCUAUGCCCUUCUCUCUUAUCCUCAUUCCUUCCAGACUCCAAGCUUGUGGAUUGGUACUGCCCAUGUUUAGGGUGAGUCUGUUCAAUUCAUUGACUCAGACACCAGAUUUUUCCUGGAGGCCCCUUCACAGAAGAUGUCUACUCAACUGUUUUCAUAGAAAUCCCUCAGUUCAGUCAAAGUGACAAUCCAAACUAACUAUCACAUCAUCUCUUCACCUUGCCAUCUCAGUUCAUCAGGGCUGCCAGAAUUCAUGACCACCGGAUGGCUACAGCAGCUUCAGAUAUCAAACAGAGUAAAGGUGCCCAGUAAAGAAAUGAAGUAUUUUCCUAGUCACAUUUGUUUGAGGGGGAAAUUUUGAACUAAACUUCUUUGGUCUCUUCUUGGGCUUUGAGGUCCUGUGUGUGUCUAAACUAAUCACGUGUAAAGGAGGUUUAAUUCCCACAGGUAAUUAGACCAACUGUGAUUCACAUCCUGGGUCAGAGGCUGCCUCACCUAACCUACUCACAUGGGGAGGAAAAGUCAAGAACAAAACUGAAGCCACUGAAAAUGAGAGGACACAGGGAAGAGAGUGUGCAAGGCAAGGCAGUCUACAGAGGCUGUAAGAAGUUCCCUGCAGGAGUCUCUUGAAUUCUUCCUGCUUUUUAAUAGAGUUUGUUAUGUAAA
Molecule: long non-coding RNA, 1718 nt
Organism: Peromyscus leucopus (white-footed mouse)
Lineage: Eukaryota; Metazoa; Chordata; Mammalia; Rodentia; Cricetidae
Exons: 2
Source: RefSeq, a predicted model, not a curated record